GAUGAAGAACGCAGCGAAAUGCGAUAAGUAAUGCGAAUUGCAGAAUUCCAGUGAGUCAUCGAAUCUUUGAACGCACAUUGCGCCCUUUGGUAUUCCGAAGGGCAUGCCUGUUGGAGCGUCAUUAUCACCCCUCAAGCCCUCGGCUUGGUGUUGGACGGUUUGGUGGAGGCCCCCUCGGGGGCUCCUGCCCCUCCCAAAGACAAUGACGGCGGCCUCGUUGGACCCCCGGUACACUGAGUUCUUCACGGGACACGUAUCGGACACAUGGGUUUACGGGACACGGUCUGCCUCCCCUCAGGGAGAAUCUUUCUAAGGUUGACCUCGGAUCAGGUAGGGAUACCCGCUGAACUUAAGCAUAUCAAUAAGCGGAGGA
This 373-nucleotide unclassified non-coding RNA is filed under the name soil metagenome. RNAcentral's name for it is "partial contains 5.8S ribosomal RNA, internal transcribed spacer 2, and large subunit ribosomal RNA". The stretch from base 1 to 121 matches the Rfam family "5.8S ribosomal RNA", at positions 35 to 154 of the family's 154-position model. The record is from RNAcentral.